Molecule: RNase P RNA, 316 nt
Filed under: Aequorivita sp.
Lineage: Bacteria; Pseudomonadati; Bacteroidota; Flavobacteriia; Flavobacteriales; Flavobacteriaceae
Description: RNase P RNA component class A
Rfam family: Bacterial RNase P class A
About the family: Ribonuclease P (RNase P) is a ubiquitous endoribonuclease, found in archaea, bacteria and eukarya as well as chloroplasts and mitochondria. Its best characterised activity is the generation of mature 5'-ends of tRNAs by cleaving the 5'-leader elements of precursor-tRNAs.
Source: RNAcentral
GCAGCAGGCCGCCUUAUCGCCUCGAAUUAGUUUCGGGGAGGAAAGUCCGGACACCAUAGGGAAGCAUAGCGGCUAACGGCCGUCGUCCGCCGUAGGCGGAUAGGACAAGUGCAGCAGAAAGUAUGUACAGGUAAUGCUGUAGUGAAACCAGGUAAACUCUAUGCGGUGAAAUGCCACGUAAACCUGUGCUUGAGGGUUCCCGCCCGAUGCAGGAGGGUAGGCAGAUUGAGCGUUUCGGCAACGGAACGUCUAGAUAAAUGAUAAGGAUUCAUCUUUUUGAUGGAUACAGAACCCGGCUUAUAGGCCUGCUUUUUUU